AUUGAACGCUGGCGGAAUGCUUUACACAUGCAAGUCGAACGGCAGCACGGGUGCUUGCACCUGGUGGCGAGUGGCGAACGGGUGAGUAAUGUAUCGGAACGUAUCCAAUAAUGGGGGAUAACUAACCGAAAGGUUAGCUAAUACCGCAUACGCCCUACGGGGGAAAGCAGGGGAUCUUCGGACCUUGCGUUAAUGGAGCGGCCGAUAUCUGAUUAGCUAGUUGGUGAGGUAAAGGCUCACCAAGGCUUCGAUCAGUAGCUGGUCUGAGAGGACGACCAGCCACACUGGAACUGAGACACGGUCCAGACUCCUACGGGAGGCAGCAGUGGGGAAUUUUGGACAAUGGGGGCAACCCUGAUCCAGCCAUUCCGCGUGAGUGAAGAAGGCCUUCGGGUUGUAAAGCUCUUUCGCAAGGGAAGAAACGAUACAGUCGAAUAAACUGUGUUAAUGACGGUACCUUGAUAAGAAGCACCGGCUAACUACGUGCCAGCCGCCGCGGUAA
RNAcentral lists this ribosomal RNA (502 nucleotides) under uncultured bacterium. RNAcentral describes it as "partial 16S ribosomal RNA". It matches the Rfam family "Bacterial small subunit ribosomal RNA", at positions 30 to 523 of the family's 1533-position model. The record is from RNAcentral.